RNAcentral lists this ribosomal RNA (1439 nucleotides) under uncultured organism. RNAcentral describes it as "SSU rRNA". It matches the Rfam family "Bacterial small subunit ribosomal RNA". The record is from RNAcentral.
GCUACAGGCUUAACACAUGCAAGUCGAGGGGCAGCAUGGUCUUAGCUUGCUAAGGCCGAUGGCGACCGGCGCACGGGUGAGUAACACGUAUCCAACCUGCCGUCUACUCUUGGACAGCCUUCUGAAAGGAAGAUUAAUACAAGAUGGCAUCAUGAGUCCGCAUGUUCACAUGAUUAAAGGUAUUCCGGUAGACGAUGGGGAUGCGUUCCAUUAGAUAGUAGGCGGGGUAACGGCCCACCUAGUCUUCGAUGGAUAGGGGUUCUGAGAGGAAGGUCCCCCACAUUGGAACUGAGACACGGUCCAAACUCCUACGGGAGGCAGCAGUGAGGAAUAUUGGUCAAUGGGCGAGAGCCUGAACCAGCCAAGUAGCGUGAAGGAUGACUGCCCUAUGGGUUGUAAACUUCUUUUAUAAAGGAAUAAAGUCGGGUAUGGAUACCCGUUUGCAUGUACUUUAUGAAUAAGGAUCGGCUAACUCCGUGCCAGCAGCCGCGGUAAUACGGAGGAUCCGAGCGUUAUCCGGAUUUAUUGGGUUUAAAGGGAGCGUAGAUGGAUGUUUAAGUCAGUUGUGAAAGUUUGCGGCUCAACCGUAAAAUUGCAGUUGAUACUGGAUAUCUUGAGUGCAGUUGAGGCAGGCGGAAUUCGUGGUGUAGCGGUGAAAUGCUUAGAUAUCACGAAGAACUCCGAUUGCGAAGGCAGCCUGCUAAGCUGCAACUGACAUUGAGGCUCGAAAGUGUGGGUAUCAAACAGGAUUAGAUACCCUGGUAGUCCACACGGUAAACGAUGAAUACUCGCUGUUUGCGAUAUACUGCAAGCGGCCAAGCGAAAGCGUUAAGUAUUCCACCUGGGGAGUACGCCGGCAACGGUGAAACUCAAAGGAAUUGACGGGGGCCCGCACAAGCGGAGGAACAUGUGGUUUAAUUCGAUGAUACGCGAGGAACCUUACCCGGGCUUAAAUUGCAGAUGAAUUACGGUGAAAGCCGUAAGCCGCAAGGCAUCUGUGAAGGUGCUGCAUGGUUGUCGUCAGCUCGUGCCGUGAGGUGUCGGCUUAAGUGCCAUAACGAGCGCAACCCUUGUUGUCAGUUACUAACAGGUUCCGCUGAGGACUCUGACAAGACUGCCAUCGUAAGAUGUGAGGAAGGUGGGGAUGACGUCAAAUCAGCACGGCCCUUACGUCCGGGGCUACACACGUGUUACAAUGGGGGGUACAGAGGGUCGCUACCACGCGAGUGGAUGCCAAUCCCCAAAACCUCUCUCAGUUCGGACUGGAGCCUGCAACCCGACUCCACGAAGCUGGAUUCGCUAGUAAUCGCGCAUCAGCCACGGCGCGGUGAAUACGUUCCCGGGCCUUGUACACACCGCCCGUCAAGCCAUGGGAGCCGGGGGUACCUGAAGUGCGUAACCGCGAGGAGCGCCCUAGGGUAAAACUGGUGACUGGGGCU